This 351-nucleotide ribosomal RNA is filed under the name uncultured bacterium. RNAcentral's name for it is "partial 16S ribosomal RNA". It matches the Rfam family "Bacterial small subunit ribosomal RNA", at positions 338 to 706 of the family's 1533-position model. The record is from RNAcentral.
CCUACGGGUGGCAGCAGUGGGGAAUAUUGCACAAUGGGGGAAACCCUGAUGCAGCGACGCCGCGUGAGCGAUGAAGUAUUUCGGUAUGUAAAGCUCUAUCAGCAGGGAAGAAAAUGACGGUACCUGACUAAGAAGCCCCGGCUAACUACGUGCCAGCAGCCGCGGUAAUACGUAGGGGGCAAGCGUUAUCCGGAUUUACUGGGUGUAAAGGGAGCGUAGACGGCGGUGCAAGCCUGAGGUGAAAGCCCGGGGCUCAACCCCGGGACUGCAUUGGAAACUGUGUGGCGGGAGUGUAGGAGAGGCGGGCGGAAGUCUUGGUGGAGGGGUGAAGUGCGGAGAUAUUAGGAGGAA